CGGUUAAACCAUAGGGCUAAAUUAUAUUUUUAGGUAAUAAAAGCAGUUAGGUAACCAGAAAAAGCAGUUAUAUAACUAUUCAUGAAGAGAUUAAAUUUAGAUAUGACUUAUUAAGCCCCUAAUAACUAUAUAUACUGAAGCUGCCACAUCUCUAAGGGAAACUAGGAUUUGAUACCCUAUUAUUUUCAGACAUAAAUUUUUUAUACCAGAGUACUACGAAUUAAUAAUUUCAAACUCAAAGAGCUUGGCGGCAUUUUAGACUAAUCAGGGGAACCUGUCUCAUAAUCGAUACUCCACGCCGAAUACUUACCUCUUUUUGCCCUCAGCCUGUAUACCGUUGUCGCCAGGUCACUUUUUAGAAAAAAAUAGUCAGCAAAAUAACCUUCUAGUUAAGACGUCAAAUCAAGGUGCAGCCAAUAAAGAGGAGCAGAUGGGUUACAAUUAACAAUUAUAAUACGAAUUACAUACUGAAAAGCAAAUAUCAAGGUGGACUUGAAAGUAAAAUAAACUAGAAAAAUAUAUUGAAUCUAGCUCUGAAAUGUGUACUAACCCCCC
Molecule: ribosomal RNA, 555 nt
Filed under: Mirandaphera arafurensis
Lineage: Eukaryota; Metazoa; Mollusca; Gastropoda; Neogastropoda; Cancellariidae
Description: partial 12S ribosomal RNA
Source: RNAcentral